UAACUUGAUGGCGACCGGCGCACGGGUGAGUAACGCGUAUGCAACCUGCCCGAUACCGGGGUAUAGCCCAUGGAAACGUGGAUUAACACCCCAUAGUACUUUUAUCCUGCCUGGGAUGGGAGUUAAAUGUUCAAGGUAUCGGGUGGGCAUGCGUCCUAUUAGUUAGUUGGCGGGGUAACAGCCCACCAAGACGAUGAUAGGUAGGGGUUCUGAGAGGAAGGUCCCCCACAUUGGAACUGAGACACGGUCCAA
This 252-nucleotide ribosomal RNA is filed under the name uncultured bacterium. RNAcentral describes it as "partial 16S ribosomal RNA". It matches the Rfam family "Bacterial small subunit ribosomal RNA", at positions 81 to 334 of the family's 1533-position model. The record is from RNAcentral.